This is a long non-coding RNA of Dendrobium catenatum, 4164 nucleotides long. RefSeq lists it as uncharacterized. The transcript has 2 exons. The record is from RefSeq and is a predicted model, not a curated record. NCBI's taxonomy places the organism in Eukaryota, Viridiplantae, Streptophyta, Magnoliopsida, Asparagales, Orchidaceae.
UUUUCUUUCUGCUUAUCUUUGCAGUAUUUUUUCUUUAUUAUCAUCAUUCAAACUGUAUUGACCUCACAUAUAGCAAACCAGUAGUGUAUGUGUGCAAGUUUAGUGCCACUUCUAUGAUGGUAGAUAUUGGCUUAAUUGGUAUUGUUUAGAUUGAGGAGUAAUUUUGUAGACACCUCAAACAUUUUUUUAAUGUACAAAUAUGUGUUUGUCACACUUUGCCUAGUUGGUCUGGGUUGUGUUGGUUUAUUGUGGCUACUGAAACACUUGAUUGAUACCUUUGCUAGUACUUGGUAAUUUCUAUCAGAGAUAUCUUCCAUAAACUUCACCGUUUACAUUUCUGCAUGAGAAUAUUUGCUAAGAAAAUUCCAUUUAUUAUUCAGCAGUCACGCCAUAGAAUAUUUAUUGCAUAUUCUUAUUAUAUGUAACUCAUUCUUGAUUAAAACAUUUAACUAGAAGCAAGUAUAAAGUGUCAUGUCUUAAUAAAAGGACUUGGUUGUGAUGCAUGAGGUCCUGGUAGCAGGCAUUUUUUCAAUUCAAAAUAUGAUGAAGGUUCUUAAUUUGACAAACAUAAGGCUAAGUGAGGCGAUUUUGUAUUACAAAGGAAGGAAUUUACCUAAAAAAUAUAAUGAUAAGUAUGAAAAUUUACACUUAUUAAAGCAUCAAUAACAUGAAUAAAUCUUCAAUCAAGGAAACCUAUAAAUUUUUUUAGAGUAUAUUACUUAUUUGAAAUAUUUUAUUAGUUGAAAGUAGGGCAUAAGAUUAGUUGCAAAUAAUUAGGCAUGAGUCUUGUUACAAAUAAGGAGGGAACAAGGUCACUAAUGAACUAAAUUGUAUAUAUUAUGUGAAAAUUUAAUUUAAAAAGAUCAUUGAUUGGAUUCAACUUGUGAUAUCUACUUUGAAAACAAUGUGCAUGCCCCACUUGAGCUGAAGUUAUUUAGGGGUCAUAUGAUUUGUUGAAAAAGUAAUACAAUGUAUUUGAAAUAUCUUGACAUUGUUUGGAUGAAUGUAAAAUAAAUACAAGAGAUUAUUAUUUUUUGUUUGGCAUCAAGUUCAUAGAAUGCAAUGUAAACUCUUAUGGUGGCUAGUGGUGGAUGCAAUUGGCGGCAGGUGUGAGUGACGAUGGCGGUUAGUGGUAGGAUAUGAUGUGGGCAGCAACCAGUAGUGACGACGGUGGCAAUGGUAGAAUCUAAAGUGAAUUUGAAAUCGGCCAAAUCUAACGGUUUUCAAAUACGCUAAAAUUGAACUAGAGGGUGAAUUUCAAAUGCUUGAAAAUUCUAGCAUACAUUUCAUUUAAUUCAAACCAAACACUAAUAAUUUCAAAUCUUCUGCAUUUGGAAUACUUUAUAUCUAUUUUAUUUCAAAUUGAAUAGCCCCUUGGUGGUUGAUACAUCUCACAUACUAAUGAAAGUGAAAUCCUACAAUUUAAAAACUAAAAGAAAUUUAAUACAAUUGCUUCAAAAAAUGAAAACACUAUACAACUAGCUAAAAGUCAUCCCCAAACAAAAUUUACUGCUAACAGGGUUGCCUCUUAUGAAAUUGAUUUUCCAAUUUAGGUUUGCAAAAUUAGCAUAGCGUGGAUUUGUUAGGAAAACUCAAUAUGUAAUUUCUAUCUAUUAAGGUAUAAAUAUCAAUGCUUGGGGCAUGCAAUACGAUCAGUGAAAUGGCAUGGAUGAUAAAGUAUUUACAUCUAUAAAUCACAAUUGAAAUACUAGUACAAUGUUAUGAAAAAUGUAUGAACCAAAAAAGUUCAUAAUCAUGGAUGCUUACCAAUCAUAGCAUAUCAAGUAAAAGUCAUUUUGCCAUAAAGUUCAAGUCUUAUUAAUAGUGAUAUUCAAUGCAUGCAUAAACUAUGUAAUUAUUAAGUGUUCACAUUAUAUUUUCAUAACUAUAGUUGGCAUGUCAAGGAAUGUUAAUCCAUCAAUAAUAUAUAUUGUGUUGGCUGAUACAAUGAUCUUGAAUCAAUAGGAUGGUCAUUACCAACCUGGUAGAGUUCGUUGACCUGCCUCUUUAGAGUUGUCUCUCUACUUGUCAGGCUUGUCCUCAAUAUUUAUUAUUUUAGAACUUGAAGCUCAUACCCCUGCAUCACUUGGAAUUUUUUUUUUCUUGAUUCAAGGCAUGAUGCUGGCCUCAUUGGCUUAAGAAAGUGUAUGCCUUAAAACACCUUAUUGGUCAUGCCUGUUUGAGGAGUGUGAGAUACUAUGAUCUUCUCUCUCCCUGCUUCCUAGGUGAGUGCCAGACUUUCUUUUAACAAUAUUGAGUGAUAGUGCUUUGGAGUUGUAAUAGAGGAAUUAGGCUCCAUUAUACCUUCGAUCUUCUGCAUUCAUUAAAUUAUUUUUAUAGAAGCUUUUUGGUAGUUAAAUUAUUUCUUUUUUGGGGUUUUCAACAAAAUUUUUAUAGCUUAUUUUUUCCAUUUCCUUAUAAGUAUAUUGCUUCUUGAUAGUACAAUGCAUUCUUCCAUUUAAGUCAUGUUUUCUCCUUUGUGAGAUGGGCAAGUUUUUGCAUGGUUUUACCAAAGUGAGUUAAAAGGUGAUGAAUUACUGGAUUGGUGGAAUUGGGCAAUUGGAAAGGUAGUUAUGCAGCAGUAGAGUAAUAAAGCCAAAAUUGGAGGUUAUGUUAUCCAAUUGACAUGUCAUACAACCUUAUUACGACCUGUUCAUGAGAUUUGCACCUUCUAUUUUCCAGGGUAUUAUUAGCCUUCAAGUUCGAUGGGGAAGUAAAUAUCUAUAUAAUGUUUUAUGAAUCCUAAGUGGAUUUAGUUCAUAGAAAAAAAAGAGACUUUCUCUUUGUCGCUACCAAAAAAUAUAGCAGAUGCCUCACACACAUGCCAAAUGGCUUUCCUUUGGACAGACAGAAAAUAGUAAGGGAAUAUGUGGAAUUUUCUAUCUUGCCCUAGUGGAAUGUCAUGCAGCAGCUUGAGGCUGAGGACUGAAGACUUUGGAAUAUGCACUCCAAUUAAUAGGCCUUAGCCUUUAAGUGGAUAAUAUAAUGGAUUAUUGUAAUCAAUUUAUUACUACAAAGAACAUUCUAUUAGGAAAUACUUGGAAUUCCCAAGUAAAACCUAACCAUCUUGAUGAAAACAGUGAGAGUAAUCCAAAAAUUCAAAAGAAAAACCAGUUGCGAUAAUCAAACUAACGGAAGAAAAAUAACAAGAUACAAUUGAUCCUCUAUUCGAGAGGAGGAUCUAUCUCUCCCAAAUCUCUAAACACCGCUAAAGCUCAAAAACCUAAACAUAAGAGAGAUCAAAUUUGAGCCAAUUCAAAUCCUAACCCUAGGAAAACAAACUAUUUAAGGCAUACAAUACAAAAUAAAAUCUUUAAACAGUCCCUACAUUCAAAUUUUCCUCCUAACUCUCUCAAAAAUCCUUCCUAAAUAGCUCCCUUGGACCCGAGCGUAUGUUCGGCGCGUACCGGAGAGGCGGAACUUCCGCCUUUGUUCCUCCUGGGCCGGUCCCGUGUGAACUGGCUGGACCGGUCCAAUGGACCGAUCUAACAAUACUUCCUCCUCUGUUCUUCUUGGGCCGGUCUUAUGUGGACUGGCUGAACUGGUCUAACAAUACUCCCCUCCCAUUGGACCGGUCUAAUAAUACUCCACUCUCAAAGAUCCACCUUGUCCGCAAGAUGGAAAGACGACACCCUCCUCCAUUUCAGCUUCAUCACAAAUGACAAGAACCUAACGAGUAUGAUCCUUACACCCGUGCCCCAGCGUAUAUCUCUUGUCACAUAUGAAACAGAGCCCUUUGCACUUUUCUCUUGUAAUUCUAUUUCUGUGAGCUUCUUGAAGUUUUCCCCCGGUCUUCCAUCAAUAGUCUUCUCCUUCGGGGUCUCCCGAAAGGGUACCUAGUGUCGGAUACUUAGAUGCCAAAAAGGUGGUGGUCAUCCUGUAUGUGCCUCUUGAGCUGCUGCAUUCCGUCACUUUUUCCAAGUGCCUCUGAUCCUUCUCCAACUGAGCUAGCUCCAUGGCCUCUCCCAAGUCACGAGGUCUAAUUGCAAAGAGCCACAAGUUUGACAUGAAUCUGGCCUCCAACCCGCAAAAAAAUAGCAAGAUGGAGAGGAAAAUGUAGUAAAAAUCGGUGAGGAAAACUUCUAUUUCAGCCCAAAAAAUUGCUUUGAUACAAAUUUGUUAGGAAAUACUUAGAAUUUCCAAGUAAAACCUAGCUAUCUUGAU